Molecule: ribosomal RNA, 1127 nt
Filed under: uncultured marine bacterium
Lineage: Bacteria
Description: bacterial SSU rRNA
Rfam family: Bacterial small subunit ribosomal RNA
Source: RNAcentral
GAGUUUGAUCCUGGCUCAGAACGUACGCUGGCGGCACGCCUAACACAUGCAAGUCGAACGAAGUAGCAAUACUUAGUGGCAGACGGGUGAGUAACAUGUAGGUAUCUACCCUUUGGCCUGGAAUAACACGAGGAAACUUGUGCUAAUACCGGAUAAGUCUUUACGGAGAAAGCUUUAUGCACCAUUGGAUGAGCCUGCACUUGAUUAGUUUGCUGGUGGGGUAAUGGCCUACCAAGACUGUGAUCAAUAGCUGAUUUGAGAGGAUGAUCAGCCACAUUGGGACUGAGACACGGCCCAAACUCCUACGGGAGGCAGCAGUGGGGAAUCUUGCACAAUGGAGGAAACUCUGAUGCAGCGAUGCCGCGUGAGUGAAGAAGGCCCUUGGGUUGUAAAGCUCUUUCGUCGGGGAAGAAAAUGACUGUACCCGAAUAAGAAGGUCCGGCUAACUUCGUGCCAGCAGCCGCGGUAAUACGAAGGGACCUAGCGUAGUUCGGAAUUACUGGGCUUAAAGAGUUCGUAGGUGGUUGAAAAAGUUAGUGGUGAAAUCCCAGAGCUUAACUCUGGAACUGCCAUUAAAACUUUUCAGCUAGAGUAUGAUAGAGGAAAGCAGAAUUUCUAGUGUAGAGGUGAAAUUCGUAGAUAUUAGAAAGAAUACCAAUUGCGAAAGCAGCUUUCUGGAUCAUUACUGACACUGGGGAACGAAAGCAUGGGUAGCGAAGAGGAUUAGAUACCCUCGUAGUCCAUGCCGUAAACGAUGUGUGUUAGACGUUGGAAAUUUAUUUCCAGUGUCGCAGGAAACCGAUAAACACACGCCUGGGGAGUACGACCGCAAGUUAAACUCAAUGAAUUGACGGGACCCGCACAAGUAGUGAGCAUGUGUUUAUCGAGAUACGCGCAGACUACACACUGACAUGUCGUCGCGACUCUAGAGAUAGAGUUUCGUCCGCGGACGAACCAGUGCUGCAUGCUGUCGUCAGCUCUUCUGAAUGUCGUAGUUCCGCACGAGCGCAACCUCACUUUAGUUGCAUCAUUAGUGCACUCUGAGACUGCAAUGAUAACGUGAGUAGUGUAUGACUCAGUCCAGUCUACGUUGCUCACGUCUCAUGAUCCAACGACCAGACUGCAGU